This 272-nucleotide long non-coding RNA is filed under the name Ananas comosus (pineapple). RNAcentral's name for it is "long non-coding RNA (ACOM_LNC020263)". The record is from RNAcentral. Lineage: Eukaryota; Viridiplantae; Streptophyta; Magnoliopsida; Poales; Bromeliaceae.
AUUGUAUUUAGUAAAAAUUAAGAAAUUAAAUUAUUAACGGAAUUACUAUUAGAUUUAGUAAAUUUCAAAAUUAUUUGAGUGAAAUAAUAUAAAUAAAAUAAUUAAAAGUUAAGUAAGUAUAAAUAAAAAAAGGUAAAUGUUUUUUUUACACUAACAAUUUAGUCAAUAUAUUUUCUCAUCAAAAUUUUAAUUAGGUAUAUUUUACUUACUUGCUAAAAUUUAAAUUUGUAUGUAUUUUGGCCCCCCUCGUAAUCAAGUCCUAACUUCGUCAC